UCGAGAAUAAUUCACAAUGGGGGCAACCCUGAUGGUGCAACGCCGCGUGGAGGAUGAAGGUCUUCGGAUUGUAAACUCCUGUCAUCCGGGAGUAAGACCUGGCGAUGAAUAGUCGACAGGGUUGAUAGUACCGGAAGAGGAAGGGACGGCUAACUUCGUGCCAGCAGCCGCGGUAAUACGAAGGUCCCGAGCGUUGUUCGGAAUCACUGGGCGUAAAGGGAGCGUAGGCGGCGUGGCAAGUCAGACGUGAAAUCCCGGGGCUCAACCCCGGAACUGCGUCCGAUACUGCCAUGCUUUGAGGGUUGGAGAGGUAGCUGGAAUUCUUGGUGUAGCAGUGAAAUGCGUGGAUAUCAAGAGGAACACUCGUGGCGAAAGCGAGCUACUGGACAACACCUGACGCUGAGGCUCGAAGGCCAGGGGAGCGAAAGGG
Molecule: ribosomal RNA, 430 nt
Filed under: uncultured bacterium
Lineage: Bacteria
Description: bacterial SSU rRNA
Rfam family: Bacterial small subunit ribosomal RNA
Source: RNAcentral